This 564-nucleotide ribosomal RNA is filed under the name uncultured bacterium. RNAcentral's name for it is "bacterial SSU rRNA". It matches the Rfam family "Bacterial small subunit ribosomal RNA", at positions 37 to 698 of the family's 1533-position model. The record is from RNAcentral.
UGGCGGCGUGCUUAACACAUGCAAGUCGAACGAAGUGGCGAACGGGUGAGUAACACGUGAGUAACUGCCCUUGACUCUGGGAUAACCUCCGGAAACGGAAGCUAAUACCGGAUAAGGAUGGACUCGCGGCCUAUCAGGUAGUUGGUGAGGUAACGGCUCACCAAGCCUACGACGGGUAGCCGGCCUGAGAGGGGACCGGCCACACUGGGCUGAGACACGGCCCAGACUCCUACGGGAGGCAGCAGUGGGGAAUAUUGCACAAUGGGCGCAAGCCUGAUGCAGCAACGCCGCGUGAGGGAUGACGGCCUUCGGGUUGUAAACCUCUUUUAGUAGGGAAGCGGUACCUGCAGAAAAAGCACCGGCUAACUACGUGCCAGCAGCCGCGGUAAUACGUAGGGUGCGAGCGUUGUCCGGAAUUAUUGGGCGUAAAGAGCUCGUAGGCGGUCUGUCGCGUCUGCUGUGAAAACCCGAGGCUCAACCUCGGGCCUGCAGUGGGUACGGGCAGACUAGAGUGCGGUAGGGGAGAAUGGAAUUCCUGGUGUAGCGGUGGAAUGCGCAGAUAUC